UCUCAGGUGGCUCAGCUGGUAAAGAAUCUGCCUGCAAUGUAGAAGACCUGGGUUCGAUCACUGGCUUGGGAA
RNAcentral lists this transfer RNA (72 nucleotides) under Ovis aries (sheep). It matches the Rfam family "tRNA". Rfam says of the family: Transfer RNA (tRNA) molecules are approximately 80 nucleotides in length. Lineage: Eukaryota; Metazoa; Chordata; Mammalia; Artiodactyla; Bovidae. The record is from Rfam by way of RNAcentral.